AUGCAGUCGAGGGGUAUAAGUUCUUCGGAGCUAGAGACCGGCGCACGGGUGCGUAACGCNUAUGCAAUCUACCUUUCACAGAGGGAUAGCCCAGAGAAAUUUGGAUUAAUACCUCAUAGUAUUAUGACCCGGCAUCGGGAUGUAAUUAAAGUCACAACGGUGAAAGAUGAGCAUGCGUCCCAUUAGCUAGUUGGUAAGGUAACGGCUUACCAAGGCAACGAUGGGUAGGGGUCCUGAGAGGGAGAUCCCCCACACUGGUACUGAGACACGGACCAGACUCCUACGGGAGGCAGCAGUGAGGAAUAUUGGUCAAUGGACGCAAGUCUGAACCAGCCAUGCCGCGUGCAGGAUGACGGUCCUAUGGAUUGUAAACUGCUUUUGUACGAGAAGAAACACUCCUACGUGUAGGAGCUUGACGGUAUCGUAAGAAUAAGGAUCGGCUAACUCCGUGCCAGCAGCCGCGGUAAUACGGAGGAUCCAAGCGUUAUCCGGAAUCAUUGGGUUUAAAGGGUCCGUAGGCGGUUUAGUAAGUCAGUGGUGAAAGCCCAUCGCUCAACGGUGGAACGGCCAUUGAUACUGCUGAACUUGAAUUAUUAGGAAGUAACUAGAAUAUGUAGUGUAGCGGUGAAAUGCUUAGAGAUUACAUGGAAUACCAAUUGCGAAGGCAGGUUACUACUAAUGGAUUGACGCUGAUGGACGAAAGCGUGGGUAGCGAACAGGAUUAGAUA
This 728-nucleotide ribosomal RNA is filed under the name Flavobacterium sp. Its description in RNAcentral is "bacterial SSU rRNA". It matches the Rfam family "Bacterial small subunit ribosomal RNA", at positions 55 to 784 of the family's 1533-position model. The record is from RNAcentral. Lineage: Bacteria; Pseudomonadati; Bacteroidota; Flavobacteriia; Flavobacteriales; Flavobacteriaceae.